CAACAGCUCAAAUUUGAAAUCUGGCCUUCGGGUCCGAAUUGUAAUUUGUAGAGGAUGCUUUUGGCGCGGUGCCUUCCGAGUUCCCUGGAACGGGACGCCUUAGAGGGUGAGAGCCCCGUACGGUUGGACACCAAGCCUCUGUAAAGCUCCUUCGACGAGUCGAGUAGUUUGGGAAUGCUGCUCUAAAUGGGAGGUAAAUUUCUUCUAAAGCUAAAUAUUGGCCAGAGACCGAUAGCGCACAAGUAGAGUGAUCGAAAGAUGAAAAGCACUUUGAAAAGAGGGUUAAAUAGCACGUGAAAUUGUUGAAAGGGAAGCGUUUGCGACCAGACCUUUUCCUAGCGGAUCAUCCGGUGUUCUCACCGGUGCACUUCGCUAGGUUGAGGCCAGCAUCGGUUUCUGUAGGGGGAUAAAAGCUUGGGGAAUGUAGCUCCUUCGGGAGUGUUAUAGCCCCUUGCAUAAUACCCUUACGGGGACCGAGGACCGCGCUUCGGCAAGGAUGCUGGCAUAAUGGUCGUCAACGACCCGUCUUGAAACACGGACCAAGGAGUCGAACAUUUGUGCGAGUGUUUGGGUGUCAAACCCUCACGCGUAAUGAAAGUGAACGGAGGUGAGAGCCCUUACGGGUGCAUCAUCGACCGAUCCUGAUGUCUUCGGAUGGAUUUGAGUAAGAGCAUAACUGUUCGGACCCGAAAGAUGGUGAACUAUGCGUGGAUAGGGUGAAGCCAGAGGAAACUCUGGUGGAGGCUCGCAGCGGUUCUGACGUGCAAAUCGAUCGUCAAAUCUGCGCAUGGGGGCGAAAGACUUAUCGAACCAUCUAGUAGCUGGUUACCGCCGAAGUUUCCCUCAGGAU
Molecule: ribosomal RNA, 850 nt
Filed under: Xylariaceae sp. HBL-2015
Lineage: Eukaryota; Fungi; Ascomycota; Sordariomycetes; Xylariales; Xylariaceae
Description: eukaryotic LSU rRNA
Rfam family: Eukaryotic large subunit ribosomal RNA
Source: RNAcentral